Mauremys reevesii (Reeves's turtle) is the source of this 169-nucleotide long non-coding RNA. RefSeq lists it as uncharacterized. The record is from RefSeq and is a predicted model, not a curated record. NCBI's taxonomy places the organism in Eukaryota, Metazoa, Chordata, Testudines, Geoemydidae. The transcript is spliced from 3 exons.
GGGGACAGGAGGUUGCAGAGCUGUCUCCUCACCACAGGAUGGGUGCCUCAAGGGCCAAGAGACUCUGGAACAGUUUCUUGGCUCAGACUGUCCUGUGAGCUCUACUCAGCAGCAAGACUGCAGACAUCAUGCCCUGCAAACCAUUCUCCUCAAAGGGGUCGCCUGAGUU